Vitis vinifera (wine grape) is the source of this 831-nucleotide long non-coding RNA. RefSeq lists it as uncharacterized. The transcript has a single exon. NCBI's taxonomy places the organism in Eukaryota, Viridiplantae, Streptophyta, Magnoliopsida, Vitales, Vitaceae. The record is from RefSeq and is a predicted model, not a curated record.
UAGAAAGAAGUGAUGGUAUAGAAUCCACCUACUUCCAUUAAUCUUCAUCUUCCUAAGCUUGCUACCACAACAUCAAGACUUCUCCAUACUCAGGUUUUGUUCAGAAAAUGAUUCAUCAUCAUCCGUCUCCUUAUGCUCAUGGCUAUCAUGGACACCAUGGUCUUGGCGGAGGACACCAUCCACAUGGUGGUCGAGGUGGUCACAAAGGGGGACACCACCUCCAUGCACUGGUACAGUCGCUCCAAUCAAAUAUUCAUAGAGGUCAGAGCGUCCUCGCCAUGAUACCUCACCCAGGCCCUCACCAUCCUCCUCCUCCACAUGCUCUUGGCUGCCAUGGAGGUGGAGCACAACAUGGCCAUCACGGAGGAGGGCAUCACGGCCAUCAUGGAGGAGGGCACCACGGCCAUCAGGGAGGAGGACAUCACGGCCAUCAUGGGCACGGCAUCUGUCAUAGCGGGGUACAUCAUGGACUUGGUGGAGGAGCACAUGGUGGCGCCGGUGGUGGCGGUUUCAGCCAUCAAGGUCACGGGGGUCAUGGCGGUGGACACCACCAUCCCCAUUGAAAGGAACACUAUCGCCAUACUCAUACGCUUCUUGGAGUGAAAUAAAUAGAGAAAUUAGCAUCCAUAUGCUUGUUUUUAGUAAAGCAUGGAUAGCUAUUAGUGUGGUAUCGGAAGCUUGUUUCCAGUGUUGAAUGGGCGUGUAAUAACAUUCUUGUAUCCAAGGAUUAUACUUAGUUGCCUUAUCUUCUAAAUUUCCUUUCCCUUUUAUUUGAUAAAUUUUGUAGAAAAAAAUUGAUCUGACAUUUUAUUAUACUUUCAGUUUUAUUAA